Ricinus communis (castor bean) is the source of this 902-nucleotide RNA transcript. It is a transcript of the gene named FAD-linked sulfhydryl oxidase ERV1, with no coding region annotated. The record is from RefSeq and is a predicted model, not a curated record. The transcript is spliced from 6 exons. NCBI's taxonomy places the organism in Eukaryota, Viridiplantae, Streptophyta, Magnoliopsida, Malpighiales, Euphorbiaceae.
AUUUUAAUUAUGCAUUUUGCCCCAUUAAUGUUUGUCUAAUUAAAAUAUCUCCACUGCAAAGCCACUAUUCUUUACAGCUGCAUCUCUCUUUUUUUUCUGUGUUCCUGUGAGAAUGUCUGAUAACCCAUUGCAGCCUCUCUUUCUUACCUUUCAAAAAGUAUCAAAUUGCAUCCAGACCCAUUUCUCCAGUUUCAUAAGCCAAUCCAAUCACCACCCAUCGCUUGCUAAUAAAAAGCCUCUCUUUUCGAUUUCAUCGUCUAAUAUAAUCACAUCUGAUAUUGACACUGCCCUUAUUCAACAACCUAAAUAUAUUCUCAAUAAGGGAACAUCUGCUGCACCAGUGACUAAAGAGGAGCUUGGAAGAGCUACUUGGACUUUCCUUCACACACUUGCUGCCCAGUAUCCAGAAAACCCAACCAGACAACAGAAGAAGGAUGUGAAACAAUUGAUGGCAAUACUAUCUCGAAUGUACCCUUGCAAGGAAUGUGCAGACCACUUUAGAGAAGUUCUGAGAGUAAAUCCUGUGCAAGCUGGAUCACAUACUGAGUUCUCACAAUGGUUAUGCCACGUGCAUAAUGUAGUUAACAGAAGGUAAGUCUGCAUUUUCCUGGUGAUACAUGGCAAUGCUUCUGGGAUUUGGACGCUCAUUUGUGUGAUAGUCUAAAGUAGAGAACAACUAAGUGAUUGUUUAAAGCCUUGGCAAAUUGGUAUUUCCCUGUGAGCGGGUUGAUGCUAGGUGGGGCAAGCUAGAGUGUGAGCAAAGAGCAUGUGAUCUGCAAGGAACUGCAUCGAAUUUUGGAGAUUAACAUAUUUAUGCACUGAAACUAAGAAAAUUCUACUAUUACUGUUAAAUACUGGUUUAUUUAUACCAAUACAGGAAUACUAUUGAGUUACCGAAUCAA